GAUGAACGCUGGCGGCGUGCCUAAUACAUGCAAGUCGAGCGAACAGAUGAGGAGCUUGCUCCUCUGACGUUAGCGGCGGACGGGUGAGUAACACGUGGAUAACCUACCUAUAAGACUGGGAUAACUUCGGGAAACCGGAGCUAAUACCGGAUAAUAUAUUGAACCGCAUGGUUCAAUAGUGAAAGACGGUUUUGCUGUCACUUAUAGAUGGAUCCGCGCCGCAUUAGCUAGUUGGUAAGGUAACGGCUUACCAAGGCAACGAUGCGUAGCCGACCUGAGAGGGUGAUCGGCCACACUGGAACUGAGACACGGUCCAGACUCCUACGGGAGGCAGCAGUAGGGAAUCUUCCGCAAUGGGCGAAAGCCUGACGGAGCAACGCCGCGUGAGUGAUGAAGGCCUUCGGAUCGUAAAACUCUGUUAUUAGGGAAGAACAAAUGUGUAAUUAACUAUGCACGUCUUGACGGUACCUAAUCAAAAAGCCCCGGCUAACUACGUG
This 497-nucleotide ribosomal RNA is filed under the name uncultured bacterium. RNAcentral's name for it is "partial 16S ribosomal RNA". It matches the Rfam family "Bacterial small subunit ribosomal RNA", at positions 28 to 507 of the family's 1533-position model. The record is from RNAcentral.